UACGAAGGGGGCUAGCGUUGCUCGGAAUCACUGGGCGUAAAGCGCACGUAGGUGGCUUUUUAAGUCAGGGGUGAAAUCCUGGAGCUCAACUCCAGAACUGCCUUUGAUACUGGCAAUCUCGAGUCCGGGAGAGGUGAGUGGAACUGCGAGUGUAGAGGUGAAAUUCGUAGAUAUUGGGAAGAACACCGGUGGCGAAGGCGGCUCACUGGCCAGUUUCUGACGCUGUAGCGCGAAAGCGUGGGGAUCAAACAGG
Molecule: ribosomal RNA, 253 nt
Filed under: uncultured bacterium
Lineage: Bacteria
Description: partial 16S ribosomal RNA
Rfam family: Bacterial small subunit ribosomal RNA
Source: RNAcentral